Long non-coding RNA from Vespa velutina, 2264 nucleotides. RefSeq lists it as uncharacterized. NCBI's taxonomy places the organism in Eukaryota, Metazoa, Arthropoda, Insecta, Hymenoptera, Vespidae. The transcript is spliced from 4 exons. The record is from RefSeq and is a predicted model, not a curated record.
AAUGAUAAAGAUUAUUUACCAAUUUUUCUAAAUGUUGGAUUCUCUAAUUUACCAUCCGUUUCAAGCCAAUUGGGUGUGGUGAAUGCAAUAACCACAAAUAUAAAAGCAAUUAACGUCAAGAUAACUGCCGUCUUUCCAUUUCGUGACUUUCCCAUUGUAUUUAACUUUCAAUUACGUAUAAACAAUCGUUAUUUAAAUUAUCGUGAUUAUUUAUUGUCACGAUCGUAUUUAAUUUCACUCACGUUUGUUCUAUCUUCGAAUUUCUCGUUAAUAUAAACUUUAAACGCACUACACACUAAAUGCAUAUAUUGCCUAUACAUUUUAAAGAUGGAUGCCUCUAUAAAUGAUAUCUUUAAUGCAUAGGUGGCACCACUCUGCGGAAUAAAUUCGUAACAAUGAAUAGCAAGUAACAAAAAUUUAAAAUUCUCGUUCCAACGUAUAAUUAUUUGUAAAAAUUGUAUAUACUUAUAUAAUUUAAAUGUUAACUUUUAUUAUUAAUGUUAUUUUGUUUCAAUUUGGUACUAAUCAAUGGAUCUAAAUUAUUUGAAAUAAGAUCACAGUGGCAAAAUAUAAUAUCUUAUAUCGCCAAAUAAAAAUGAAUGAUUCUAGCGACAAGUAAAUUCUUUUUUACUUGAUAAUAAAUUACUUAAUAUAUUGAAGGAUAUAAAAAAAGUGGCGAUUAUAAUCACUAAAGGGCCAGAAGAUAUUUAGUUGGAUGGAAAUAGGGAUGAUGUCUUACCGCCACCUGCUCUAAGCAUAUCAAGAAACGUGCUCUCGGCAUUGCCACGCGUGCGUCCCUGUUUUUGAGAUGGCGUACCGAAACUGAGACUCUGAAUAUUGAUUUCAGCUUUGAGUUGUUCCGGUGGUAUGUCAUCAACGCGGAACUCAUUAGGAUCUUCAACGAAGGCUUGUUGAAGGUCACGCAUUAUCUUCUUACGUAUCGUCUUCUUCAUUGAAAGAUGUCUUUCCAAAUGUUUGACAUCGCUCUCGGUAAGGGUCUUACUGUUGUCCCGUCUUCUUGUCUUCUUCUUCUUACUAUUCUUCGGACUUUCUUCUUCACCAGAAGUUGAACCUAUGGAAACCGCGCUGUCAUGUCCAGCAGCUUUUUCUUCGGCUUGCAUACGUGCAUUUUCCCAUUUGUUACCAAAACCGAAAAUGUCACGUAAAUGAGGUAUAUUUCGAUCGGCUGUCUGCUGCCUUGCCAUUCUUAUUUAUUAGAUUAGAUACGUUCUGAAAUGAGAUAAAAAUAAUAUUUAUAAAAAGCCCGUUAUAUAUCUUGAAUGAUAAGUUAAAUUUAUAUAAAUAAAUAUUUUAACAAGCUGCUAAAAAGGAGCUGCUAAAAGACAAACAUAUAUAUUAAUUAUAGACAAAUAUUUUCCAGUCAUGUUAUUACCCAUGGACCAAAUUUCAUCGAUCAUUCAAUCGAAUCCGCGAACCUGUCUAAUACCAUCGAUAUCUUUUUGUCUCUGUCAAACAUGAUUCUGAAGUAGACACGAUUUGAAAACACAAAUGAUUAUCCAUUAUAUCAUAAGUAUUUACCUACAUAUAACGACUAAAGCCACUAUCCAAGAAAUAUCCAUGCCUGUCUACUACGUUCUCACCACUACCUCCUAUAUCCUAUACACUAACAAUUCCGCAAACCAGCUGACCGAACAAACGCGCACGUAUCGUUAGAUAACCGCAAAAAGAAGGGGCUACGUGAAAGGACUCCUGCUCGGCUGAUCUCCUGGAAGCACCGUUCGUUUAUCCGCUUGCCGUCGUUUCGCCGUACGGAGGCGAACUCGUUGCCAGGCAGCGCUGAACGGGCUCUCGAGUUCUUUCCAGGUUUAUCCAGUUUCAUCCUCCAAGUACCAAGUUCGUUAUGGUAUAAUCAAGACAUUCGACGAUGACAACGACGACGACGACGACGACGACGAAGACGAUGAUGAUGAUAAUGAUGAUGAUGAUGAUGAUGAUGAUGAUGAUGAUGAUGAUGAUGAUGAUGAUGAUGAUGAUGAUGAUAAUGAUGAUGAUGAUGAUAAUGAGAAAACAAUGACGAUUUCUAGCGUAAAGUCAAAGAAGUUGUUGUUUUCUGUUUUUCAACUUCGAAACCGGUACGGUCAAGCGACAUAUGGGAUGAUGAACCGCUUUUUAUCACGUUUCAUGCAUUUACGAAAAGGCUAUCUAGCUUUAUUUUCAAUGAUCAUUUUGUCUUGUUAAUUAUGUGAACAUACUACAAGUAUAUUAUAUAAUGUCUUCUUCUCUUUUUGUUAAUAUAUAAGAAA